This 222-nucleotide unclassified non-coding RNA is filed under the name plant metagenome. RNAcentral's name for it is "partial contains small subunit ribosomal RNA, internal transcribed spacer 1, and 5.8S ribosomal RNA". The record is from RNAcentral.
UUUCCGUAGGUGAACCUGCGGAAGGAUCAUUAAAGAGAAUAUGCCCUUCGGGUAGAUCUCCCACCCUUUGUUUAUCUUACCUUUGUUGCUUUGGCAGGCCCGUCUUCGGACCACCGGCUUCGGCUGGUCAGUGCUUGCCAGAGGACCCAAAACUCUUAUUAUUAAUGUCGUCUGAGUACUAUAUAAUAGUUAAAACUUUCAACAACGGAUCUCUUGGUUCUG